This 1171-nucleotide ribosomal RNA is filed under the name Weissella thailandensis. Its description in RNAcentral is "bacterial SSU rRNA". It matches the Rfam family "Bacterial small subunit ribosomal RNA", at positions 32 to 1168 of the family's 1533-position model. Lineage: Bacteria; Bacillati; Bacillota; Bacilli; Lactobacillales; Lactobacillaceae. The record is from RNAcentral.
GGCCAUGGCGGCGUGCCUAUUAAUGCAGUCGAACGCUUUGUUUUUAAUUGAUAUGAAGAGCUUGCUCUGAUUUGAUUUUAUCUGACAAAGAGUGGCGAACGGGUGAGUAACACGUGGGUAACCUACCUCUUAGCAGGGGAUAACAUUUGGAAACAAGUGCUAAUACCGUAUAACACUAACAACCGCAUGGUUGUUAGUUGAAAGAUGGUUCUGCUAUCACUAAGAGAUGGACCCGCGGUGCAUUAGCUAGUUGGUAAGGUAAUGGCUUACCAAGGCGAUGAUGCGUAGCCGAGUUGAGAGACUGAUCGGCCACAAUGGGACUGAGACACGGCCCAUACUCCUACGGGAGGCAGCAGUAGGGAAUCUUCCACAAUGGGCGCAAGCCUGAUGGAGCAACGCCGCGUGUGUGAUGAAGGGUUUCGGCUCGUAAAACACUGUUAUAAGAGAAGAACGACAUUGAGAGUAACUGUUCAGUGUGUGACGGUAUCUUAUCAGAAAGGAACGGCUAAAUACGUGCCAGCAGCCGCGGUAAUACGUAUGUUCCAAGCGUUAUCCGGAUUUAUUGGGCGUAAAGCGAGCGCAGACGGUUAUUUAAGUCUGAAGUGAAAGCCCUCAGCUCAACUGAGGAAGGGCUUUGGAAACUGGAUAACUUGAGUGCAGUAGAGGAAAGUGGAACUCCAUGUGUAGCGGUGAAAUGCGUAGAUAUAUGGAAGAACACCGGUGGCGAAAGCGGCUUUCUGGACUGUAACUGACGUUGAGGCUCGAAAGUGUGGGUAGCAAACAGGAUUAGAUACCCUGGUAGUCCACACCGUAAACGAUGAGUGCUAGAUGUUCGAGGGUUUCCGCCCUUGAGUGUCGCAGCUAACGCAUUAAGCACUCCGCCUGGGGAGUACGACCGCAAGGUUGAAACUCAAAGGAAUUGACGGGGACCCGCACAAGCGGUGGAGCAUGUGGUUUAAUUUCGAAGCAACGCGAAGAACCUUACCAGGUCUUGACAUCCCUUGCUAAUCCUAGAAAUAGGAUGUUCCCUUUCGGGGACAGGUGACAGGUGUGCAUGAUGUCGUCAGCUCGUGUCGUGAGAUGGUGGUAGUCCCGCACGAGCGCAACCCUAAUAAUAGUGCAGCAUUCAUUGGCACCUCUAGUGGAGACUGCCCGGGUGAACAAUCCGGAG